This 119-nucleotide ribosomal RNA is filed under the name Thermoprotei archaeon. Lineage: Archaea; Thermoproteati; Thermoproteota; Thermoprotei. RNAcentral also lists the same sequence under 2 other names. The record is from RNAcentral.
CCUGCCGGUCAUAGCGGAUGGGGAAAUACCCGGACCCAUUCCGAACCCGGAAGUCAAGCCCAUCCGCGUAAGGGAUUCGGUGAGGCUACAAGCCUUGCAGGGUCCCUUAACUGGUAGGG